GAUACCUUCUUUUUUAUUGUGUUGGCUUAUAGUGAGAAUCUACCAUCAUAACAAUUAACCGAUCGGAUUAAAAUGGGUCAAUAUCAUUUACCCUUUCACUUGUUAAUUCAAUUUGGUUAUUCUCAAGAAGUUGUCUACAUUCUGACUUGAUUCUAACUAUUUGUUUCCUUGCGCUAGCAUUGAGUCGCCUAAAAACUAGUUUAAUUACUUGUGCUAUCGUCUCUCAUCUUUGAUAUGAUUGAUUGAGUGGCUUGAGAAGUUGAUAAAUGACUAUUGUAACAAUAAUUAACAUUACCCAUGAAUAUUUUUAUUGAAAAAAUACUGUUACACAUGUUAAAUUGGAUUGGAUUGCAUUUUUCUGUCAUUUUUUUUGUUCUAUGCUUCUUGUGUCUUGUGUUUUAUGUUUUGAUGGAUUUAUGUUUUGGUGGAUUUAUGGGUAUCUGAGGAACAAACUGUAUGCUCAUCUUUCUUCUUUCCUAUCAAAGUGUUGAGAUUUUCACUUAGUUUGUUCUUUUAAUUCAUGCAUCAUUUGUGGUAG
This 538-nucleotide unclassified non-coding RNA is filed under the name Hevea brasiliensis (rubber tree). The record is from RNAcentral. Lineage: Eukaryota; Viridiplantae; Streptophyta; Magnoliopsida; Malpighiales; Euphorbiaceae.